Molecule: small nuclear RNA, 101 nt
Filed under: Paramormyrops kingsleyae
Lineage: Eukaryota; Metazoa; Chordata; Actinopteri; Osteoglossiformes; Mormyridae
Source: RNAcentral
AACUCUGCAUGUGUCAUAUACUGAAAUUUGAAUGACAUAGAAUAUUAUCAUGGCCCCUGUGCAUGGAUGACUCACGAACUGGUGAAGUGUUCCAUUUAGGG